GACGAACGCUGGCGGCGUGCCUAACACAUGCAAGUCGAACGAAGUGGCGAACGGGUGAGUAACGCGUAAUCAACCUGCCCCUCAGAGGGGGCCAACAGUUGGAAACGACUGUUAAUCCCGCUCACUCAAGGAGGGGAUUGCGUAUGAUGAGCUAGUGGGAGGGGUAACGGCCCACCCAGGCGAUGAUCAAUAGCCGGUCGGAGAGGAUGAACGGCCACAGUGGGACUGAGACACGGCCCAAACUCCUACGGGAGGCAGCAUUGGGGAAUAUUGGACAAGGGGCGAAAGCCUGAUCCAGCCAUGCCGCGUGUGUGAAGAAGGUCUUCGGAUUGUAAAGCACUUUAAGUUGGGAGGCGUUACCAACAGAAUAAGCACCGGCUAACUUCGUGCCAGCAGCCGCGGUAAUAC
Molecule: ribosomal RNA, 408 nt
Filed under: uncultured bacterium
Lineage: Bacteria
Description: partial 16S ribosomal RNA
Rfam family: Bacterial small subunit ribosomal RNA
Source: RNAcentral